GAUGAACGCUGGCGGCGUGCCUAAUACAUGCAAGUCGAACGCACAGCGAAAGGUGCUUGCACCUUUCAAGUGAGUGGCGAACGGGUGAGUAACACGUGGACAACCUGCCUCAAGGCUGGGGAUAACAUUUGGAAACAGAUGCUAAUACCGAAUAAAACUCAGUGUCGCAUGACACAAAGUUAAAAGGCGCUUUGGCGUCACCUAGAGAUGGAUCCGCGGUGCAUUAGUUAGUUGGUGGGGUAAAGGCCUACCAAGACAAUGAUGCAUAGCCGAGUUGAGGGACUGAUCGGCCACAUUGGGACUGAGACACGGCCCAAACUCCUACGGGAGGCUGCAGUAGGGAAUCGUCCACAAUGGGCGAAAGCCUGAUGGAGCAACGCCGCGUGUGUGAUGAAGGCUUUCGGGUCGUAAAGCACUGUUGUAUGGGAAGAACAGCUAGAAUAGGGAAUGAUCUUAGUUUGACGGUACCAUACCAGAAAGGGACGGCUAAAUACGUGCCAGCCGCCGCAGUAA
Molecule: ribosomal RNA, 513 nt
Filed under: uncultured bacterium
Lineage: Bacteria
Description: partial 16S ribosomal RNA
Rfam family: Bacterial small subunit ribosomal RNA
Source: RNAcentral